RNAcentral lists this ribosomal RNA (636 nucleotides) under uncultured marine bacterium. Its description in RNAcentral is "bacterial SSU rRNA". It matches the Rfam family "Bacterial small subunit ribosomal RNA", at positions 8 to 624 of the family's 1533-position model. The record is from RNAcentral.
AGAGUUUGAUCAUGGCUCAGGAUGAACGCUGGCGGCGUGCCUAAUACAUGCAAGUCGAGCGAACUGAUUAGAAGCUUGCUUCUAUGACGUUAGCGGCGGACGGGUGAGUAACACGUGGGCAACCUGCCUGUAAGACUGGGAUAACUUCGGGAAACCGAAGCUAAUACCGGAUAGGAUCUUCUCCUUCAUGGGAGAUGAUUGAAAGAUGGUUUCGGCUAUCACUUACAGAUGGGCCCGCGGUGCAUUAGCUAGUUGGUGAGGUAACGGCUCACCAAGGCAACGAUGCAUAGCCGACCUGAGAGGGUGAUCGGCCACACUGGGACUGAGACACGGCCCAGACUCCUACGGGAGGCAGCAGUAGGGAAUCUUCCGCAAUGGACGAAAGUCUGACGGAGCAACGCCGCGUGAGUGAUGAAUGCUUUCGGGUCGUAAAACUCUGUUGUUAGGGAAGAACAAGUACGAGAGUAACUGCUCGUACCUUGACGGUACCUAACCAGAAAGCCACGGCUAACUACGUGCCAGUAGCCGCGGUAAUACGUAGGUGGCAAGCGUUAUCCGGAAUUAUUGGGCGUAAAGCGCGCGCAGGCGGUUUCUUAAGUCUGAUGUGAAAGCCCACGGGCUCAACCGUGGGAGGGU